AUGACGACGGAGAGACGUCAGCUGAUCCUUUGUUUAUCAAAAGAAACAAAAAUAUCUUCUGUCACAAAUAAGAAAUAUAAAAUCUGUCUUUAUCUAAAUACAUCUUCUUCAGCCAAACACACGCGUGUAGAUUACAUCAUAUUUACAUACCGCUCAUUAGCAUGUUGCUCAUUAACAUACCGCUCAUUAGCAUGUUGCUCAUUAACAUACCGCUCAUUAGCAUGUUGCUCAUUAACAUACCGCUCAUUAGCAUACAGUACGAGCAGCUGCUUUCAGAGUCUAUUCAGUCACCAAGCUGCUUUAUUCCCUUUGAGCGUCCCCCACACACUGAGGGGAUUGUGGGUAAUGAGUCCUCAGGUGAGAUCUGUAGUUCUAGUACUGGAUGUACUCAGACUGAAGAGACUGUAUGGAUCGCGCUCAAGUAGCGUCCCUGACCGGCCCCUCAGAGCACUGUAGGAGACCCUGUAGGGGCUCAGGUCCUGAAUCCUGCCGCUGGGCGCCACAGAGUCGGCGUACGGACCGCCGCCAUUGUUGUUUACCUCGUGCUGCGUGCUACGAGGGCCGUUACCAUAGCGACACAGAGGGGGCGGGGCCAUGUGGGAGGGGGAGGAGCUGAGAGACACGGCGGACGGGGGGGGGGGCGAGGCGUCCUCUACGUCGACGUAAAGAUCGCUGAGAGAGCUCGCCAACCGAGAGCUGCAACACACAACACAAUAUAACACAAUACACACACACACUGCCCGUACUGAGUCAAACAGGAAGUAGGCGGUGACACUGACCUCCUGAUGUUGGACGCUGUUGACGCCGGACUUCUCCCGAUCCUCUUGGCGGCAGCAGAAGCAGAGGAUGGGAAUUUGGAGGACUUGAGGGGGGAGGGGGGGCCCUGACCACCGCCCAUCGACAAUCUGAACACAUAACCGUUGACACGUUUAUGAAUUAUUAUCGUCUUUAAGAAGUUGAAAUCCGACGGGACGUUUUCUAAUUUAUCUUUUUUUAUUGUGUUUUUCUGUUUUCAGUUUCACAGAAAAGUUAAAAAUACACACAAAUAUUUAAAAAGUACUAAAACAAAGAAUUCAACAUGAAGAGAAACAUUGAUGAGGUGUGUAACCUGCUCUACAUCUCGUUACGUCAGAGAACAGAAGAUGAAGAAGAAGAAGGAGAAGAAGAAGGAGAAGAAGGAGAAGAAGAAGAAGAAGAAGAAGAAGAAGAAGAAGAAGGGCGUGACAGCAGCUGUUACCUGAGCGGCUGCGAGGCGGCCCGGCUGUGUAUCUUUGUCUCCUCCAGCCUGAAAGAAAACACGUGUGUAACUCACUGCGAGGAGCUGAACAGUCAAACAAUAAUAGCGUUCACAGCUGACUGGACGCCAUGCUAACGAGCUAACAGUAGGUAGCUUCAGCAGAGACUCGUUAACGAGUCACAGGAAGUCAUCAGGAAAUGAUUCAAACUUCACGUUAGUGAUGAAUAGAGAACUCACGACGGAUUGUGUGGUGCUCGCAGUUUAUCUGGACACUCGCCGUCCGCAGACAGAAACCCGGAGGCCGCGUAUCGCACAAUUAACGUUUAAAACUCCAGCAGCCGGACUUCCGGUGGACGGCGAGGCAGCAUGGCUGCUUGAAAAGUGGGCUCCUUAUGCCAACCGAUAAACUCCGCCAAAACUCGAAAAUUAAAACACAUUAAAUCGUUGACAACGAGCGGAGGAUCAACCAAGACAAGGAUUAAGAAAGCAUAGUAAUAAUAAGGAGAACAAGCUAACGGCUGAAGCUAGCACAGCGAUGGCUAAACCACAAGCUAACCUGGACAGCACGAGCAAUCCCAAGACAUGAAAAGAGAAAUUAAAACAGACUUGAGUAUCUUUAAGGACAUCGCCACACAAAUACAAAAGAGAUGACAGAAUCAAGGAGAACAUUAAUCAGAAACUCAAAAAUAUACGCAGAAGUAGGAGAACGAUAAGAGAGACGCGGUCAUGACUCUGAGGAAGAUGAGUGUUGGAGGAAGAUUAGUGUUGGAGAACCGAGGCUCAAAGCGCCACGCAAGAAAUAAUCAAACAGAAGAUUAUGGUGGAAAAGCUGGAAGACUUAGAAUCGAGAUCCAGACGGAACAACUUGAAUAUACGGCAUACCAGAGGAUGCAGAGCUGAAAAGCGACACAGUGGCGAUUGUGUGUAGAGAAAUGGCUGCGGGACGAGCCAGAUUCCCUGGCACCGAAACCCAAAUCGGGACAACCACCAAGAUCGAUAAUCCUGAACUUUUUGCAAUUCCAGGUAAAAGAGAUGGUUUUGAAAAGAAACAAUCAAACUCGGAGACAGUAGGAUUUACUUCGAUUACUUGAUUACACCGCGAGGCGCAAAUCGUAUGCAGGGUGUUAAGAAGAUAUUGAAGGGGGAAGGCAUCCGCUUUCACACACCCCUCCAUAGGAUGCGCAUUCACUGGGCUAAUUGAAGACAUACAGCAGCGCAG
This 2456-nucleotide long non-coding RNA is filed under the name Cottoperca gobio. Its description in RNAcentral is "lncRNA (ENSCGOG00000003207.1)". Lineage: Eukaryota; Metazoa; Chordata; Actinopteri; Perciformes; Bovichtidae. The record is from RNAcentral.